AAAUAAAUAAAAAUAGUCCAAAAACAGUCCAUUUACAAACCCAAAGUCUAACCCGAAUUACCCAAUACACCCCAGCCCAAUAACCAAAAAUCCUAAGCCCAAUACCCUAGCCCGGUUCGCCUAAAGAGAGCCAGAAACCCUAGCAACCUGCAGUAGGCCUCCAGCGCCGCAGCAACAAGAACCCUCCCCCUCGCGUGCCCACCACGCGCGAUGCCUCACACGAGCCGCGCCACGUCCCAGCUGGCCCUCGUACGCCCAUACACCUGCAGCAAACACCAACAAACAACAAGCAAAAACGCAACAGAAACAGACGAUACCGAAAAAAGCAAGAACGAAUAGCAAACAAAAGGCAAUAGAAAAAGAAAAUUAGAAAAAGGGCAGAGAGGAGAUUUUUCGAUUGGAUGUAUUUUCUCUUCUUUUCUUUUUCGCUUUGGCUAUAAAAAGCCAAUACAAACAAUGUAAAAUGGGUUACACAUUCAAUAUACAGAUUGAAUACCAAAAAGGGAUUCAAAGGAAAUCAAGUUUCAUAAGGUUUUUUUUUCGUUCUUUAUUUUUAUUUUCGUUCUUUCGUCCAUUACUAGUUUAGAAAUAAAAGAGAGACAGUAAAAGAAAGAAAGACGUACCUGGUAACCACAUCCUUCCCCUCCGUCGUCAUCUGAGUUGAGUGGAGGUUGGGGGGUCUGAGGAGAGGUUUCGUCGAGCGGCGCAGAGAACCUUUAAGGUUCUUUAGUUUUUUUCUUUAUUUUCUUUAUUUUCUUUCCUUAGAAAAUGAUAGGCUGCUAGUUUU
This 787-nucleotide long non-coding RNA is filed under the name Gossypium barbadense (sea-island cotton). RNAcentral's name for it is "long non-coding RNA (GBAR_LNC019064)". The record is from RNAcentral. Lineage: Eukaryota; Viridiplantae; Streptophyta; Magnoliopsida; Malvales; Malvaceae.